GUCAGAGUGGUGUACCUUUACUGCCUGUCCUGACCGAGUAAGAGCAUGUAUACACCCCACCAGCUGGAGUCUUAAAUCUUGGCUUGACUAUAAUUCCCUGUCUACAGACACAGAUUGGUAUCUUCAAUCCUAGGAUGAACAACAACAACGAAAAAAACAAAUUAAAGGAAUAAAACUCACAGAUACCUAAGAAAAUUAAGAAUGGUGGAAAUAAUGCGCUCUCGGAAAGAAGAGGAAGGGGAGGCAGAAACAGAAGGAGACCACUCAGAAUACAGAUUUGGAGAAAAGACCGUAUCAAUGGCCACAACUCAAUUGAUUCUGGGGAAGGUGGAAUGUAUGGGGAAAAAAAAGAAACAAUUUGACCAGCAAGCAA
Long non-coding RNA from Nyctereutes procyonoides (raccoon dog), 373 nucleotides. RefSeq lists it as uncharacterized. The transcript is spliced from 3 exons. The record is from RefSeq and is a predicted model, not a curated record. Lineage: Eukaryota; Metazoa; Chordata; Mammalia; Carnivora; Canidae.